GAGGGUAUAACUCAGUGGUAGAGCGCAUGCCUGGCACGCAUGAGGUCCUGGGUUCAAUCCCCAAUACCUCCA
This is a transfer RNA of Camelus ferus (Wild Bactrian camel), 72 nucleotides long. It matches the Rfam family "tRNA". From Rfam's summary of the family: Transfer RNA (tRNA) molecules are approximately 80 nucleotides in length. Their secondary structure includes four short double-helical elements and three loops (D, anti-codon, and T loops). Further hydrogen bonds mediate the characteristic L-shaped molecular structure. tRNAs have two regions of fundamental functional importance: the anti-codon, which is responsible for specific mRNA codon recognition, and the 3' end, to which the tRNAs corresponding amino acid is attached (by aminoacyl-tRNA synthetases). tRNAs cope with the degeneracy of the genetic code in two manners: having more than one tRNA (with a specific anti-codon) for a particular amino acid; and 'wobble' base-pairing, i.e. permitting non-standard base-pairing at the 3rd anti-codon position. The record is from Rfam. NCBI's taxonomy places the organism in Eukaryota, Metazoa, Chordata, Mammalia, Artiodactyla, Camelidae.